Molecule: unclassified non-coding RNA, 333 nt
Filed under: soil metagenome
Description: partial contains 5.8S ribosomal RNA, internal transcribed spacer 2, and large subunit ribosomal RNA
Rfam family: 5.8S ribosomal RNA (bases 1-120)
Source: RNAcentral
GAUGAAGAACGCAGCAAAAUGCGAUAAGUAAUGUGAAUUGCAGAAUUCAGUGAAUCAUCGAAUCUUUGAACGCACAUUGCGCCCGCCAGUAUUCUGGCGGGCAUGCCUGUUCGAGCGUCAUUUCAACCCUCAAGCUCAGCUUGGUGUUGGGACUCGCGGUAACCCGCGUUCCCCAAAUCGAUUGGCGGUCACGUCGAGCUUCCAUAGCGUAGUAAUCAUACACCUCGUUACUGGUAAUCGUCGCGGCCACGCCGUAAAACCCCAACUUCUGAAGGUUGACCGCGGAUAAGGUAGGAAUACCCGCUGAACUUAAGCAUAUCAAUAAGCGGAGGA